Molecule: ribosomal RNA, 495 nt
Filed under: uncultured bacterium
Lineage: Bacteria
Description: partial 16S ribosomal RNA
Rfam family: Bacterial small subunit ribosomal RNA
Source: RNAcentral
GACGAACGCUGGCGGCGUGCCUAAUACAUGCAAGUAGAACGCUGAAGGAGGAGCUUGCUUCUCUGGAUGAGUUGCGAACGGGUGAGUAACGCGUAGGUAACCUGCCUGGUAGCGGGGGAUAACUAUUGGAAACGAUAGCUAAUACCGCAUAAGAGUAGAUGUUGCAUGACAUUUGCUUAAAAGGUGCAAUUGCAGCACUACCAGAUGGACCUGCGUUGUAUUGGCUAGGUGGUGGGGUAACGGCUCACCAAGGCGAGGAUACAGAGCCGACCGGAGAGGGGGGUCUGCCACACUGGGACUGUGACCCGGCACAGUCUCCUUGAGGUAGCAGCCGUAGGGCUACUGCGGCCAGCAGCGGAAGUCUGACCGCGCAAGGCCGAGGCAGUAUAGAGGGUUUUCGGGUCGUGAAGCUCUGUUGUCAGGGAAGAACGAGUGUGCGCGUGGAACGUUCCCACUGUGACGGUAUCUUAUCAGAAAGCGCCGGCUAACUACGUG